RNAcentral lists this ribosomal RNA (425 nucleotides) under uncultured bacterium. Its description in RNAcentral is "partial 16S ribosomal RNA". It matches the Rfam family "Bacterial small subunit ribosomal RNA", at positions 354 to 796 of the family's 1533-position model. The record is from RNAcentral.
GUGGGGAAUCUUGCGCAAUGGGCGAAAGCCUGACGCAGCCAUGCCGCGUGAAUGAUGAAGGUCUUAGGAUUGUAAAAUUCUUUCACCGGGGACGAUAAUGACGGUACCCGGAGAAGAAGCCCCGGCUAACUUCGUGCCAGCAGCCGCGGUAAUACGAAGGGGGCUAGCGUUGAUCGGAAUGACUUGGCGUAAAGGGCGCGUAGGCGGGUCGGUAAGUCAGGGGUGAAAUCCCAGAGCUCAACUCUGGAACUGCCCUUGAUACUGGCGAUCUUGAGUGUGAGAGAGGUAUGUGGAACUCCGAGUGUAUAGGUGAAAUUCGUAGAUAUUCGGAAGAACACCAGUGGCGAAGGCGACAUACUGGCUCAUUACUGACGCUGAGGCGCGAAAGCGUGGGGAGCAAACAGGAUUAGAUACCCGUGUAGUCC